AUACUUAAGUCCUUGUAUUUGGCUUUAUAGUGCUGUGGCUCUUGAAUAAGAGGAAGUCAUAACAGCCCCCACAAGCAGCUAAACCAAAAGGCAGAAGCAGCUCAGGAAUGCUGGAGGUUGAUUUCCCCUCAGACCCAUAACACUACAAAGGUGCGAAAUGUGGGCAGACUUCUAUGGUUACCUCAAAAGAUUACGCACCAGAAAGUCCAAGAGCACUUCUGGAAUCCCAACCUUAUUGGCAAGCCCGCAGUUCAUGCCCCUUUGCAGAGGCACUCAUCGAAGCUAUUGGUCGUCCAGAUUUGGAGUUAGGAUCUGAAAGCAUCUUGAGGGUCCCUCUGUUGACCCCAGAGAAAGCCUUAAAAUUGACAGCUUUGAUGGUCUUAGCCAAGGCAAGAUUGACCAUCAUUAUGAUGCACUGUCUCUUUGCAUCCUUGCUUCGAU
Molecule: long non-coding RNA, 441 nt
Filed under: Androctonus crassicauda
Lineage: Eukaryota; Metazoa; Arthropoda; Arachnida; Scorpiones; Buthidae
Source: RNAcentral